Molecule: ribosomal RNA, 464 nt
Filed under: uncultured bacterium
Lineage: Bacteria
Description: bacterial SSU rRNA
Rfam family: Bacterial small subunit ribosomal RNA
Source: RNAcentral
CCAGACUCCUACGGGAGGCAGCAGUGAGGAAUAUUGGUCAAUGGGCGAGAGCCUGAACCAGCCAAGUCGCGUGAGGGAAGACGGCCCUACGGGUUGUAAACCUCUUUUGUCAGGGAGCAAGAACGGAUACGUGUAUCCGAGCGAGAGUACCUGAAGAAAAAGCAUCGGCUAACUCCGUGCCAGCAGCCGCGGUAAUACGUAGGGAGCGAGCGUUGUCCGGAUUUACUGGGUGUAAAGGGUGCGUAGGCGGCUUGGCAAGUCAGUAGUGAAAUCCAUGGGCUUAACCCAUGAACUGCUAUUGAAACUGUCGAGCUUGAGUGAAGUAGAGGUAGGCGGAAUUCCCGGUGUAGCGGUGAAAUGCGUAGAGAUCGGGAGGAACACCAGUGGCGAAGGCGGCCUACUGGGCUUUAACUGACGCUGAGGCACGAAAGCGUGGGUAGCAAACAGGAUUAGAUACCCCCGUA